Molecule: transfer RNA, 71 nt
Filed under: Dipodomys ordii (Ord's kangaroo rat)
Lineage: Eukaryota; Metazoa; Chordata; Mammalia; Rodentia; Heteromyidae
Rfam family: tRNA
About the family: Transfer RNA (tRNA) molecules are approximately 80 nucleotides in length. Their secondary structure includes four short double-helical elements and three loops (D, anti-codon, and T loops).
Source: Rfam by way of RNAcentral
UGUGCUGUGGCUCAAGUGGUAGAGCGCUAGCCUUGCAUGCAUGAGGCCCUGGGUUCAAUUCCUCAGCACCA